Spea bombifrons (plains spadefoot toad) is the source of this 515-nucleotide long non-coding RNA. RefSeq lists it as uncharacterized. The record is from RefSeq and is a predicted model, not a curated record. NCBI's taxonomy places the organism in Eukaryota, Metazoa, Chordata, Amphibia, Anura, Pelobatidae. The transcript is spliced from 5 exons.
UCAGUGGGUGUUGGCUGCCUCUUCCUUAUAAUCACUGUUAGUGCCGGUUGUUCAUUGAGAGCUGCAGCCGUGGAUGUGCUAACAAGGUGAGAGCAGGAGAUCUCUGCUGAACAAAGUGAAGUUGAAGUCACUACCUCACUGCAGUUAGGUUUUUGCUAAACUGGAAAAAUGUCGGGUGUAAUGAAAUGGUUUGGAAAAGACGACGAUAAAGACAAAGACAAAGAUAAACACCAAGAGAUAAAGGGAGAGGACAAGAAAGACAAGAAGAAAAAGAAAGACAAGAAGGAAGGAGAUACGUCCAGUUCCAGCUCAGACAGCGAUUCUGAUGGAGGAAAGAAGAAAAAAGACAAGCAUUAGAAGAACAAAAGUGAUACAAUGGAGCUGGAACAUGCAUUUAACAAACCUCCAUUAUACUUAGUAAUGCGCUUCUGCAUGUGUGUUUGUAAAUGGUCUGCAAUGUAUAUACUGAUCUUUACUUAAAGGUCAUGGGUUUUCAGAAUAAAACCUUAAACAAA